This is a long non-coding RNA of Panicum virgatum (switchgrass), 2454 nucleotides long. RefSeq lists it as uncharacterized. Lineage: Eukaryota; Viridiplantae; Streptophyta; Magnoliopsida; Poales; Poaceae. The record is from RefSeq and is a predicted model, not a curated record. The transcript has 3 exons.
GCUUGAGGUUCUAUAUUGAUUAACCAUAAACUAUUGUUUGCAUAGAUAACUAGAGCAAUCAUGGUGUAGCAUUAAUUCACACUUUAAAUUGAUUCUCAACAUAUAUAUAAUCCUUGUUCCAUAUCACAAUUCUACGAUGCGGUGCUAUGAUCAAGGUGCUCAUAUCUGAGAGGGACUGACGGCGAAUCGAUCCGAUUUAACCUAGCAAGGUGGACCUAACUAACACGGCACGUAUUUGCCCCGUCGGACCUAACUAAAAUGUCUUUGGGCUUCUACCCUCAUAUAUACACUUUUUUCCAUCGUGAUUGUUUUUGCGUGGUUAGUGUGCUAAAAAAUUGGUUCAGUUGAAUAUUAUUCCUAUCAUUGAUAAUUCCUAACCUCCAUUUACUAAAAGGUUGGUUUGUUCAUUUCUCUGAAAGAUCAAGCCACUGAAAAGCAGUUAAUUGCACUGAAAAAUAUGAAACUGAUGCUAAGCUUCCCUCACUGUUACUAUCCACUAUCCUGUGAAAAUUAGUGUCCUUUUCCACUUAAAUUUAUUGUUCAUGCUUGUAUCGUUAAAAGCAACUUGAAAGCUUUGUCUGAACAAAUAUAUGAACGUGCCGCUAUUUUAUCACUCGAUGAUGAUAUUACCUAAAACAAAAUGUUAGUGAUCAUUAUUGGAAUUUAUUGUGAUGAUGAUUAUAGGGCGUGCAAAGCGCGAUCAUCUAAAUUGAUUUUUCCCUAAAGCAGAGAUGAUGGUGUUUGAGCUUCUUCUCAAGAGCCACAUAGUCGUUUUCUUCGUUGUGGAAGAUGUCUUGCUUCCGUUGGGGCUAGCUAUUCUUGGUUGGGAUAGGAUUAGAGCUGGGAAUAUUGUUCUGUAGAUCUAGAUGUAUAAGAAGAUUAUUAUUGUUUAGAUCUUGAUUGGUGAGAUAAUUUUAAAAUGUUGCCCACCACUAACAAAAACGGGGCUUCCAUACAUGUUUUUUUAAUAUAAUGACACGAAGCUCUCCUGCAUGUUUGAGAAAAAGACCAUGUCUUAAAUUGUUUUUAUUGAAUUAUUUAGUCUGGUUGAUACAAUUUGCAGCGGUGUUUUGUGUUUAAUAUUUUUUUUGAAUGAAAACUUGGUAGUUUAGGAACCUUUUAACCUUUAAUUUCAUUUGGUUAGUUCGUUCUUACAGUAGAUUCGUCUCCUUUGAUGAUUCCUAUAGUUCAAAGCAUGAUAGUAUCAACUUGAGAUGAUUGCAAAAUAAAAAAUAUGAUAAGAAUUGGACUCUCUAGGCUAACUGUUCUGAAAACAAUUGGUUUCUAAUUACCCAUAGUAUUUUUCUAGCUUAAAAAAGAGAAAAGAAUGGCAGCUGCAUCAAGCAAAACCCAUGGAGACGAGCCAGGCCCCGUAAUGUAAUUUAAUUAUUUAGAACUAACAUAAUUAGAAAGUCCAAGUCUGAUCUUACUAUAUGUAUUCUAUAAAUAUAAAACAUUUAUUCAAUAUUUUUUAACACGUGCAUACCGCACGUGCACUUUACUGUAGGAUUAACCUUGGUAGAUUUGACAUGCUCCGUUUUAUAACACGUGCGUGUCCGUGACGGCGGCCUAGGCUGCUUCACGUUGUUGAUUUGUUUGUAUUAGUAUACUGCUGUGAGCACAAGAUGACCGAGUUGAAUGGUGUUUUUUGGAGAAAAUUAUGCUGAAAAUGGGCUUUGAUCGUAGAUGGGUGAAAAUUAUUAUGGCUUGUGUUACAUCUGUUCAAUAUAGUGUAAGAUUCAACUCAAUGGAGACAGAAGUUUUUAAGCCAACAAGGGGACUUAGACAAGGGGAUCCCGUCUCCCUACCUGUUCUUGCUUGUUGCAGAAGGACUAUCAAGCAUGUUGAAAGGAGCAGAAGAUAGAGGUGAUUUAGAGGGAAUCAAAGUAUGCCGAGAACUUGAGAGCCAUUCUAGACAAGUACUGCGAAAACUCGGGCCAGAUGAUAAGUGGGGCAAAAUCAAGUAUUUUUUUCAGUGAAAAUACAGAAGUUGUGGUGAAGGGAGAGAGUUCGAGCUAGAACAAAUGGAUGGAAGGAGAAGCAGCUAAGCAUGGGAGGAAAGGAGGUGCUUCUCAAGUCCAUUGCCCAAGCCGUUCCAGUAUAUGCGAUGAUGGUGUUCAAAAUCCCGAAAAACAUUUGUAAAGGGAUCUCCGAUGCCAUCUCACAAUUCUGGUGGGGUGAUGACAAUGAACACAAGAAAAUUCAUUGGAAAGCAUGGUGGAAAUUAUGCAUCCCAAAAGGAAGAGGUGGUAUGGGUUUCAGAGACUUACACAGCUUUAAUAUUGCAAUGCUUGCAAAACAAGUAUGGAGGCUGUUAAGUGGCCCUGACUCUCUCUGUGCUAGGGUGAUGAGAGCAAGGUAUUAUCCGGAUGAAAAACUCUUGAAUGCAAAGUUGAGAAGUGGGAGCUCCAAUACUUGGCAAAGUGUCCUAGCUCGACUAGAAUGUUUCAAACG